GGUGGCUCAGUGGUAGAGCGCUUGCCUAGCAUGCAGGAGGCCCUGGGUUCGAUUCCUCAGCACCA
This 65-nucleotide transfer RNA is filed under the name Dipodomys ordii (Ord's kangaroo rat). It matches the Rfam family "tRNA". Rfam says of the family: Transfer RNA (tRNA) molecules are approximately 80 nucleotides in length. Their secondary structure includes four short double-helical elements and three loops (D, anti-codon, and T loops). The record is from Rfam by way of RNAcentral. Lineage: Eukaryota; Metazoa; Chordata; Mammalia; Rodentia; Heteromyidae.